RNAcentral lists this long non-coding RNA (2531 nucleotides) under Xyrichtys novacula (pearly razorfish). The record is from RNAcentral. Lineage: Eukaryota; Metazoa; Chordata; Actinopteri; Labriformes; Labridae.
CGGCACUGUUCGACGCUGCGGUCUCUGAAAUGGGACACAGCCUGAAUUUGAAGCGCGCUCAGGAUUUCGAGCCAAAUGGGACACCAUUCGCGCCGCAUGAUGACAUCACACACACUUCGAAUGCGCCGUUCGACGGUGCGGUCUCUGAAAUGAGACACAUGUGCUACGUCCGAAUUGCCAAGUAGUAGUCGAAGUAGUAGUCAAAGUAGUAUGUAGCAUGUCCGAAUUGGCCACCGGAGCGAGUAGCAUGCUACUUCAGAUACUACUUCAGAUACUAGACACGCUCACAUUGUAGUAUGGUCGCGGUGCAUCCUACGGGCAUGCUACUGACCCAAAAUGCACCGCGGGCUUCUUCGUCCUAUUAAAAGUUGUAGAAGCGCAUGUGAUGCUAGCGCCACCAGCUGCUGCCUAUUUAGAUGCGUCGCGAACGCCGGCUGGCCAUAGCAGCGCGCACCAUGGCGGAGCAGCAGCAGCAGCAGGCAGGACCGCAGCAGUACAGAUGUAAGUUUCAUGUAACUUCACACACUGUCCUAAAAAAAUAUGUGGUUGUAUCUCUUUGUCAUGUCAUGGUGUCAUAUUUGCCCAAGUAAUCAUUUUAUGAGCAAAUAUGUAGCAACAUCAUGGAGGUAAAGCUCACUUAUUCCAUCAUUAAACUGCACAGCUGCAGUAAUCAGGCAGAUCUCAUUGAACAAACGAUCACCACGUGAGUGAAUGAAGGCUAAAAGUAAUGCGAAAAUUCAGAGAGGUCAGACUCUGCAGCUUCCUCUUGGUUUGAGCACAGGUUCUAUAAUUUGACAAAGAUAUAGACAUGCCCUUCAUUGUUUCACCCCCAAAAUGACAUGCCCUUCAUUGUUUCACCCCCAAAAUACUGUUAGGUGCAACAUGUUAUCGAUUUUUAUCAAGUGGGACCUCAUUCCACAGACCAUUGCUCUGCUGAUUGUUUUGUGCACCUGUAGGCCUAUGUAAUGAAUGUAAUUGCUAAAAACUACUACUGUUUGAAUACUUCAACAAAAUUACUGUGGAUCUACCAUGAAAGGUUUGUCUCCUACCUCACAGACAGGACAUUUAUGGUAAGUGUGGAGACAUGCUCACUUAUGAAAAAAUCACAUGUGGUGUACCCCAGGGCUCAAUUUUAGGCCCUGUGCCUUUUAACCUGUACAUGCCCCCUCUUGGCUGUGUUACCAGGAGACGUGGAAUUAACUCAGUUAUGUGGAUGGUGCGCAACUCUAGAUCUCUGUGUCUCCUAGUUAUGUGGAUGGUGCGCAACUCUAGAUCUCUGUGUCUCCUGAUGACACCAGGAUAAUGGAUGCUCUUUUUAACUACAUUUUAGAUAUUAAAUCCUGGGUGGCCUAAAACUGUCUCCAGCUUAACCAGGACAAAACUGAGGUUUUAGUCAUCGGUCCGGAGGCCCAGAGAGAGAGAGAGAGACCUCCACCCACGCUACAAGCAUUGUCUUGUAAUUCAUCACCACAAGUGAAAAACCUUGGUGUCAUUUGUGACUCUGAGCUGACUUUUAUUCCACACAAUAGUAGGUUUUUAUCACCUAAAGAACAUCACCAGAGUCCGUCCCUUUCUUUCUCGGACCAACACAGAGACGCUAAUACAUGCUUUUAUCACCAGCUGUAUGUAACUACUGUAAUAACCUGCUUUCUGGUCUUCCUGAAAAGAAUAUCUCAGGUUUGCAAUUAUUACAAAACUCAGCAGCACGUGUCCUGACUAAGACCAGGAGGCGGGCCAACAUAACAAGGUUCUUUUGUUUUUAAAAGUCUUAAUGAUCUUGGGCCUUUUUAUCUUUCAGAACUACUGUUACCUUAUGAACCUAGAUAAAGCCUGCGCUUCCCUGGCAGCAGGCUCAGAAAGUCAGGACACACACUUAUGGCGAGGCGUCUUUCCACCAUUACGACCCUCGUCUAUGGGACAGCCUGCCAGAGGACCUCAGGGCCACAGAGAAUGUGAAUGUUUUUAAGAGCAGGCUCAAACCCAGCUCUAUUAUUUUAUCUCUAUUUAUUCUAGUCAGCUUAGGUUUCUUAUUUCCUAUUUAUUUGUAUGUAAUGUCACUGAGAUGGUCUGUGUUUUAUUCUUUUUUUAGUUAUUAAUUGUUUUUAUCCUUUUUUCAUUUGUAGGAUUCUCAUUGUUUUCUCUGAGGGAGCUGGAAGCAGUGGUCUGCUGUGGUUGCAGGGGCCUGUCAUUAAAAUGCUAGUUUUGCAAAUAAAAACAUGAUAUUUAAGCCUGAUGUAGACCAUAAACUACAUAGAUAUGACAAACUCAUAUGCUAAUAACAAAAAAGAAGGUAACAGUGAUGAUAUGUUAAGUAGCUGAUUUAAAAUCCCAAUUUCAUAAGAACUGGCAUUAAGCAUGGUGUAGAUUAAAUUUAAUUUGAUGGUUUGCAAAUAAUUUAGUUUUGCUUCAAUUCAAAAUAAUGCAAAGUCAAUGUAACAAUGCUGAAAGUAAAAACUAUAUUUGUUAAUUUUCCCUCUUUUGUAUUGUUUGUGUGUUUUUGUGCAUUUAAAUGAGCUGGGACAGGAAUAUGU